CGAACGGCAGCACGGGUGCUUGCACCUGGUGGCGAGUGGCGAACGGGUGAGUAAUACAUCGGAACAUGUCCUGUAGUGGGGGAUAGCCCGGCGAAAGCCGGAUUAAUACCGCAUACGAUCUACGGAUGAAAGCGGGGGACCUUCGGGCCUCGCGCUAUAGGGUUGGCCGAUGGCUGAUUAGCUAGUUGGUGGGGUAAAGGCCUACCAAGGCGACGAUCAGUAGCUGGUCUGAGAGGACGACCAGCCACACUGGGACUGAGACACGGCCCAGACUCCUACGGGAGGCAGCAGUGGGGAAUUUUGGACAAUGGGCGAAAGCCUGAUCCAGCAAUGCCGCGUGUGUGAAGAAGGCCUUCGGGUUGUAAAGCACUUUUGUCCGGAAAGAAAUCCUUGGUUCUAAUAUAGCCGGGGGAUGACGGUACCGGAAGAAUAAGCACCGGCUAACUACGUGCCAGCAGCCGCGGUAAUACGUAGGGUGCGAGCGUUAAUCGGAAUUACUGGGCGUAAAGCGUGCGCAGGCGGUUUGCUAAGACCGAUGUGAAAUCCCCGGGCUCAACCUGGGAACUGCAUUGGUGACUGGCAGGCUAGAGUAUGGCAGAGGGGGGUAGAAUUCCACGUGUAGCAGUGAAAUGCGUAGAGAUGUGGAGGAAUACCGAUGGCGAAGGCAGCCCCCUGGGCCAAUACUGACGCUCAUGCACGAA
RNAcentral lists this ribosomal RNA (701 nucleotides) under uncultured beta proteobacterium. Its description in RNAcentral is "bacterial SSU rRNA". It matches the Rfam family "Bacterial small subunit ribosomal RNA", at positions 63 to 757 of the family's 1533-position model. Lineage: Bacteria; Pseudomonadati; Pseudomonadota; Betaproteobacteria. The record is from RNAcentral.